CCUACGGGGCGCAGCAGUGGGGAAUAUUGGGCAAUGGGCGAAAGCCUAACCCAGCAACGCCGCGUGGAGGAAGAAGGCUUUCGGGUUGUAAACUUCUUUUGACAGGGAAGAGCAGAAGACGGUACCUGUCGAAUAAGCCACGGCUAACUACGUGCCAGCAGCCGCGGUAAUACAUAGGUGGCAAGCGUUGUCCGGAUUUACUGGGUGUAAAGGGCGUGCAGCCGGGCUGACAAGUCAGAUGUGAAAUCCCGCGGCUCAACCGCGGAACUGCAUUUGAAACUGUCAGUCUUGAGUACCGGAGAGGG
RNAcentral lists this ribosomal RNA (305 nucleotides) under uncultured bacterium. RNAcentral's name for it is "bacterial SSU rRNA". It matches the Rfam family "Bacterial small subunit ribosomal RNA", at positions 338 to 658 of the family's 1533-position model. The record is from RNAcentral.